CCUACGGGAGGCAGCAGUGGGGAAUAUUGCGCAAUGGGCGAAAGCCUGACGCAGCAACGCCGCGUGCGGGAUGACGGCCUUCGGGUUGUAAACCGCUUUCAGCAGGGACGAAGUGAAAAUGACGGUACCUGCAGAAGAAGCACCGGCCAACUACGUGCCAGCAGCCGCGGUGAUACGUAGGGUGCGAGCGUUGUCCGGAAUUAUUGGGCGUAAAGAGCUUGUAGGCGGUCUGUCGCGUCGAAAGUGAAAACUCAGGGCUCAACCCUGAGCCUGCUCUCGAUACGGGCAGACUAGAGGAAGGUAGGGGAGAACGGAAUUCUUGGUGGAGCGGUGGAAUGCGCAGAUAUCAGGAAGAACACCGGUGGCGAAGGCGGUUCUCUGGACCUUUCCUGACGCUGAGAAGCGAAAGCGUGGGGAGCAAACAGGCUUAGAUACCCCUGUAGUC
This 445-nucleotide ribosomal RNA is filed under the name uncultured Propionibacteriaceae bacterium. Its description in RNAcentral is "bacterial SSU rRNA". It matches the Rfam family "Bacterial small subunit ribosomal RNA", at positions 338 to 795 of the family's 1533-position model. The record is from RNAcentral. Lineage: Bacteria; Bacillati; Actinomycetota; Actinomycetes; Propionibacteriales; Propionibacteriaceae.